This 46-nucleotide ribosomal RNA is filed under the name Cyanoboletus poikilochromus. Its description in RNAcentral is "Cupreoboletus poikilochromus (Boletus poikilochromus) partial 18S ribosomal RNA". It matches the Rfam family "Eukaryotic small subunit ribosomal RNA", at positions 1788 to 1831 of the family's 1831-position model. Lineage: Eukaryota; Fungi; Basidiomycota; Agaricomycetes; Boletales; Boletaceae. The record is from RNAcentral.
GUCGUAACAAGGUUUCCGUAGGUGAACCUGCGGAAGGAUCAUUAUC